GCGCAAGCUCUACACACGCAGCGAGCGCUAAAAGAAGCUGCUUUCUGAGAGCGGCCGACGGUGACUACUCCUAGAAUCUGCCUGGUAGUGGGGACAACGUCGGAAACGGACGCUAUGUCGCAUACUUCUACGUGAGAAAGCAGGGGCGCUUGAGGCCUUGCGCUAUCAGAUGACCUAGUCGGAUUAGCUAGUUGGUUGGGUAAUUGAUUACCAAGCGACGAUCCGUAACUGGUCUGAGAGGAUGAUCAGUCACACUGGAACUGAGACACGGUCCAGUCACCUAUCGGGAGGCAGUAGUGGGGAAUAUUGGACAAUGGGCGAAAGCCUGAUCCAGCCAUGCCGCGUGUGUGAAGAAGGUCUUCGGAUUGUAACGCACUUUAAGUUGGGAGGAAGGGUUGUAGAUUAAUACUCUGCAAUUUUGUCGUUACCGACAGAAUAAGCACCGGCUAACUCUGUGCCUGUAGCCGCGGUAAUACAGAGGGUGCAAGCGUUAAUCGGAAUUACUGGGCGUAAAGCGCGCGUAGGUGGUUUGUUAAGUUGGAUGUGAAAUCCCCGGGCUCAACCUGGGAACUGCAUUCAAAACUGGCUGACUAGAGUAUGGUAGAGGGUGGUGGAAUUUCCUGUGUAGCGGUGAAAUGCGUAGAUAUAGGAAGGAACGCCAGUGGCGAAGGCGACCACCUGGACUAAUACUGACACUGAGGUGCGACAGCGUCCGAGCAAACAGG
RNAcentral lists this ribosomal RNA (725 nucleotides) under uncultured Pseudomonas sp. RNAcentral describes it as "bacterial SSU rRNA". It matches the Rfam family "Bacterial small subunit ribosomal RNA", at positions 39 to 776 of the family's 1533-position model. Lineage: Bacteria; Pseudomonadati; Pseudomonadota; Gammaproteobacteria; Pseudomonadales; Pseudomonadaceae. The record is from RNAcentral.